GUUGAGGACGAUCGGUCCGCCUUCUGGGUGAGUAUCUGGCUCGGCCUUGGCAUCUUCUUGGAGAACGUACUGCACUUCACUGUGUGGUGCGGAAUCCAGGACCUUUACUUUGAGGAAAUUAGAGUGUUUCAAGCAGGCGCACGCCUUGAAUACAUUAGCAUGGAAUAAUAGAAUAGGACUUUGGUUCUAUUUUGUUGGUUUCUAGGACUGAAGUA
This 215-nucleotide ribosomal RNA is filed under the name uncultured fungus. Its description in RNAcentral is "partial small subunit ribosomal RNA". The stretch from base 91 to 215 matches the Rfam family "Eukaryotic small subunit ribosomal RNA", at positions 738 to 864 of the family's 1831-position model. Lineage: Eukaryota; Fungi. The record is from RNAcentral.